GUGCACCAGCUGCUUCUGGGUCUGCUUCUGUAUCCUGUCCACUGCCGUGCUGUACUUCCACAUCAACAGGUUUUGUGUCUGGCCAUGCUUAGGGGGAAGUAAGGAUGGAAUCAGGCAGCAGACGGUGAAAGAGGCAACGCACCCGGGGCUGGGCCGCGGUGUGCCUCCAGCUGCGGCACGCAGCCCACGGGAGCCUCGUGCUGAACGCCGCUGCGCCGGCCUUCAGCGGGACGGCCGUCACAACGCGUGUUUAAACGAGAGAGGGAAUAAACCGCCUCGCCUCAGCAGGACGAUAAGGCGGCCAGGCACGGAAAUCGUUCCCGGUGAGCCGGGAGAGUCCCUUAGAGACAGACGGGAGCCUCGGGAAACUCCCGAGCCCGGCACUCGGCGAAGCACCUCCGGCAGCGGGCUGCACUGCUCCCGCCCGCUGAGC
RNAcentral lists this long non-coding RNA (433 nucleotides) under Gallus gallus (chicken). Lineage: Eukaryota; Metazoa; Chordata; Aves; Galliformes; Phasianidae. The record is from RNAcentral.